GGAGAGAUGCCGGAGCGGCUGAACGGGACGGUCUCGAAAACCGUUGUGGGUUUACGCCCACCCAGGGUUCGAAUCCCUGUCUCUCCGCCA
RNAcentral lists this transfer RNA (90 nucleotides) under Desulfobulbus sp. RNAcentral describes it as "tRNA-Ser". It matches the Rfam family "tRNA". Rfam says of the family: Transfer RNA (tRNA) molecules are approximately 80 nucleotides in length. Their secondary structure includes four short double-helical elements and three loops (D, anti-codon, and T loops). Further hydrogen bonds mediate the characteristic L-shaped molecular structure. tRNAs have two regions of fundamental functional importance: the anti-codon, which is responsible for specific mRNA codon recognition, and the 3' end, to which the tRNAs corresponding amino acid is attached (by aminoacyl-tRNA synthetases). tRNAs cope with the degeneracy of the genetic code in two manners: having more than one tRNA (with a specific anti-codon) for a particular amino acid; and 'wobble' base-pairing, i.e. permitting non-standard base-pairing at the 3rd anti-codon position. Lineage: Bacteria; Pseudomonadati; Thermodesulfobacteriota; Desulfobulbia; Desulfobulbales; Desulfobulbaceae. The record is from RNAcentral.